Myxocyprinus asiaticus (Chinese sucker) is the source of this 1502-nucleotide long non-coding RNA. RefSeq lists it as uncharacterized. The transcript has 3 exons. The record is from RefSeq and is a predicted model, not a curated record. Lineage: Eukaryota; Metazoa; Chordata; Actinopteri; Cypriniformes; Catostomidae.
UUUAAUGAACCAAAGAGAGCGCAUGUUACACCACUCCUCAUCUCUCUCCACUAGCUGCCGGUUGACGUAUCAAAUUCAAGGCUCUGAUGCUGGCAUACAGAACAGUCACUGGGUCUGCUCCAGCAUACCUAAAAUCAUUUAUGCAGAGCUACGCGCCCACUAGAAGCCUGCGGUCGGCAAAGGAACGUUGCCUUGUUGUACCAACACAAAGAGGCACACAAAACACAAAACAAAAUCUAUUUUUAUGUUUCAAGAAAAAACCCAGCAUAUGGGUUUUGAACAACAUAUGGGUGAGUAAAUGAGUGAGUAAAAGUACAUUUUCCAUUUUUAGGUGAACUACUUUAACUGGUGGCUCAUUUUUUGAGCACAAACUUGAUGAGACAUACUCAAAAUAAAAUGGUCUCUUUUAAAAGGAGACUUUUAAGAUAUGCUGUACAAAUUUCAGAAUUAAUUAAAGACAUAAAGAAGUUAUUUAGAAAAUCUUAAAUUGAUUUUAAAUUAUUAACUAAUAAUAUUUGCAUUAAGAAUAUAUGACACUGUCCUUGCCAAAACCUAAAAGCACAAUAGAAGUCACAAGUCACAGGUCUUACCAUGUUCUAGUUCUGAGCUGGGUGAAAACGCUCUACUCUGUGUGGCAUUUUGCACCACCUCUGUAGAGCCCAUAUACAAGUCUACACAUACAGUAAUAUCACCCCCAUGAAACGCUGUAUUUGCUCGUGUGCGCGCGCCAGAGAGCACUAUCAUCGAUGGCCGUGAGAAAUGCAUAAUUAUGAUUAUAAUAUAAUGAUUUGGGAAUGUGCAUUGCCACGGAUUUUGCAUAACCGCGAUAGACAUGAUACUUGAUACAUUUCUCGCGGUUGACAUUUCUAUUACACACUGACACAGAGCCAUGCAGCUGCUUGUUGGUCUCGUUCUAAAGCAUCAAAAAGACACAAAUAAUGACUGGCCAGACCUGUGGACAGCCAAACAAAAAGGUUUUAAAUCCAAGAACCCCUGGUUAGAAUACAAAAAAAUUGGGAUGUCUGGCCUGUAGCAGUGUGAACUCCAUUGGAAUCAUCAAGGAGCAAUGUGUAUCUCUCUCUCAAAGAAUGGAUGAACUUGAAAUUCAAGCAUCUGGCCAGGGAAGUAGAGAGACAAGUCUGUCAGUCUUGAGAAAUAAGAUGAGGAACAUGCUUUGUCUAAGGCCAACAAUCAAGUUGUGAAGAUGGCAGAACAACAGAAAGAAGCAGUCAUUGGUCGUUUUUUUGAAGACAGAGAGUGAGUCAGCUUCACGGAUGGAGUUGGGAAGGUUGUUCCACCAACGUGGUAUGAUGAAGCUGAAAGUCCGGGAAAGUGUUUUGGUGCCUCUUUGUGUUGAUGCAACAAGGCGACGUUCCUUUGCCGACCGCAGGCUUCUAGUGGGCGCGUAGUCCUGCAUAAAUGAUUUUAGGUAUGCUGGAGCAGACCCAGUGACUGUUCUGUAUGCCAGCAUCAGAGCCUUGAAUUUGAUACGUGCAUCAACC